UCUGGCUGAAGGAAGAGAAUACAAAACCAUAAUUCAGCUGAAAUUUCAGUGCAGAGAUCCAACUACAGUUAAAUCUGUCUCGGGUCAUUUAAUUUAAAAGUUAUUCUUGGUUUGGAUUAACUUGACCCAAUACUAUAACAUCAUGUUUUGGUCGUUAAGACUUAUUCCAUCAAUUCUUUUCUAGAACCUCAAGUUUAAUAAAUUACAUGCCAGUCAUUCAGUUUUCAGGAGUUACAAAAAGUUUUAAUUGGCAAAAAAAAAAGACUAUUCAGCAAUUUCUGGCACAUGGAAACAUCACAAGUUAACUGUCCUGCUUUUAUUAGAUCAAGGAUAGAUAAUUAAGAUUUUUUUUCCCCAAAAAAAGAAUGUGAAAUAGUGUUUUAUUAAAUAUUUUCCAGAUUACAUCAAACUACAGUUUUCUUAGAUCAUCUAAGAACAGAAAAAAAGAAAAAAAGGCCAAAAAACCCACAAGCACCUGCCCCUAGCAGCAAAAAAAACAGACGAACAACAACAACAAAAAAGGCAACUUUAUCACAUAUAGUUACUUAAUACAAGCAUUUUUUUCUUUUUAAAGUAAUGCCAUUAGCCUUCUCCAUUGUAAAUCACCUAUCAAAAAUUGGCAGUUUCAAUAGAAUGCAUGCAGUCCUUGCUACCCCACAGCGGAGAUAUUCCCAGGUGGGCCUGGGAACACGAGGCCCUCCACAGCUGGGUGGGUGAGAUGGCUCUUGAACCCAGGAGCAAUGAGAGGAAGGCUUUACUGUUGCUUCAGUGGCUUGCUGAGUAUUGCCUUGUGUUCUCUGACUCUCUUGCAGUAACAAAGGUAAAGUUUGCUGUCUCUUUUUUGAUGGGACAGGAGCUUCCAUCUGCUUAUUACAUGUGCAGUGAAGAAGAGCAUGGUAAGCAGGUGCUUACUUACUGAUCCCUCAAGCACCUGGGGAAAAUAGAGUAGACAGAAAUUCCUUCGUAGGGACUAUGUAUUUCUUACUGAGAAAACCCCUAGGAGAAAUCCCCCAUUCUUUUAUUUUUUUAAGGCUCUUGAGGACGUGGUCAUGUUUAUAUUGCUGUUGUAUGCAUCAGAAUGUUCUGGUAAAUUAUGUUGUAUGACUCUAUGCUCCCCACCGUCCCCCUCAGCCAGUCUGCUUCAUGUGUAGCCUUGCUCAGGUAGACAGUGAGCACAGUACAGAUAAAAAUACAAGUCUCUUGAAGACAGAUAAGAACUACAAAUCUGUCUGAAGCUGGGUGCUGAAAGAACUGAUGGCAGGCUGAUGGCAGACACCUGGUUCAACAGCUGAGGUCCAUUAGAGCAGCUGCUACUACCAGUAUGAAUCAACCAUUUUACCUCAUAAAUAGUGAGCAGGCCCAGGGGGUCCUGGGACCUUAUGCAGGACAGGCUGCUGUGUGAUGGGAGCUCCUCUUAAGUAAAGAUGGCUCUUGAAGUUAUGCCUGCUUUGGUGCUGUGUGAUGCCUUGCUGAUACAAACCUUUGGACUUGCUCAAACAGCACAAUGUCCUUUUCACGUUGGAGAUCCCAGUUCUGGACACAAUACUCCUGGUGGGGACUCAUGAGAGCAGAGUAGAGGGGUCGAAUAACCACCCUUGACCUUUUGAUCGUAAAAUCAUAGAAACAAUGAAGUUGGAAAAGAUCAUCAAGUCCAACUGUCAACCCAUCACUACCAAGCUCAUUAAGCUCUGCCCCCAAGUGCCUCAUAUGCACAUUUCAUGAACAACUCUGGAGACAAUGGCUCCAGCACACCUCCCUGGGCAGCUUGUUCCAAUGCCUCACCACUCUUUCUGAGAAGAAAGUUUUCCUAAUAUUCAACUUGAACCUUACCCAUGAACAAAAGCUGUAAGCACUGGCAGAAGUUUCUUGCUGAAAUUGUAAAUGCCUAUGGGGCAUUUGGGUUGCUUUUGUGGUUAGGAAAAAACUGAGACAGUGGAGAACAGUAGUUUCAGUUUUGAGAGUGAAUUUUUCUUUUUCUUGCUCUGUCCCUGAGUCCCUAACCCCAUUGUAUGCUACAUCCAUCUGUGAAAAAUUCAACUAUUUAAUGAAUAGCAGUUACACUGUAAGAAAUGAAUUGAAAAAUCUAAAUUGCUCACAGAAGAUUUUUGAAGCCUUACUAAGUUUGAGGUUAACAUCCAUUUCUGAUCAGGUGUGUUAUUAAGUAUCUUUAUUGAGUACUGAUAAGGUGCAAAAAAGUACCUUUAUAAUGACUGUGCUUUGACCUAUGAAUGUGGUUAACAGAGAGGGAUUUUUCACUUUCUGUUAGGAUGAUGAUGCAUGCCAACUGAAUGAUCUGUAUUGUGAGCUGUGUGGGAGUAAUGCUUUAAAUUUAAUGAGGAAUUGUGCGUUUUAAAAAAAAGAAGUGUUCAGGCUCUUUUAUAGUGGUUCAAGCUGAAACAAUGCUCUUGUGCUCCUGGUAGUUUUUCUGUUGUUCUUCAGUGAAAAAGCUGAUGACCAGGUUUUGCAUUUUUUGCCUUGGUCCUGUAGGAGUAUGCUUCCUGCUCCUGAUGAAGUGAACAGGGUAGAAGUUUGCCUGCUUUACAUAAAAUAGUUUUUAAGUCAAUGUAAUUUAUCAGCUGAUUCUUAAGGAAAGACAUCUUUUUUUCAAGCAGAUCCAAUUUCAGAUUUUCAUUUUGUAUAAGAACUUCUAAGUUGUUCACUUGUACGAUAAUUUAGUUUGAGACUUAAGUGAUGCUGUUGUAAGCAUCUGUAAGUAAAAGGUAUAUUGUACGUAUAAACAAAGUCACGUAUAGAAAGAGGGGUCUACAUUUGGAAUCUAUCACUUUAAGUAUAAGUUAAAGAUGAGUAUGAGGAAGUAAUUUUCUUAGUUUAUAGGAUUUUGUUUUCCUUUCCUAUGAAAACUUAAUUUCAAACCAGAUUUGUUUCUAGGCUGUUUGUACCUAUCCAUUCAUGUAAAUUGUAAAAGGUCUGA
This is a long non-coding RNA of Lagopus muta (rock ptarmigan), 2932 nucleotides long. RefSeq lists it as uncharacterized. The transcript has 3 exons. The record is from RefSeq and is a predicted model, not a curated record. NCBI's taxonomy places the organism in Eukaryota, Metazoa, Chordata, Aves, Galliformes, Phasianidae.